GCUCUCUCCUCACUAAAGAUCCUAUUAUUCUUCUCAAUUCAAAUGGUCCAAUGAGUGGCUGAGAUGGAAGCACUCCAUAGAAGAUUUCUUGAAUUUUUCCUAGGAGUUCCAAGGCAUAAGGAGAAGAGGUGAGAGAUCAAUUGGGGAAUGAUCCACAACCACUUGAAUAGAAGAAGAAGGCCGGUUCAAAGGGCCAAGGCAACCUCACAAUUUAGAAAUAGAUGUUGAUUGGUUUCUUCAGCAUUGAGGCACAUGGUGCACCUGUUAGGAAAAUGUAUACCCCUUUUGCUGUAGUUGAUCGAG
RNAcentral lists this long non-coding RNA (303 nucleotides) under Amborella trichopoda. Its description in RNAcentral is "long non-coding RNA (ATRI_LNC000749)". Lineage: Eukaryota; Viridiplantae; Streptophyta; Magnoliopsida; Amborellales; Amborellaceae. The record is from RNAcentral.